Long non-coding RNA from Camponotus floridanus (Florida carpenter ant), 198 nucleotides. RefSeq lists it as uncharacterized. The transcript has 3 exons. The record is from RefSeq and is a predicted model, not a curated record. NCBI's taxonomy places the organism in Eukaryota, Metazoa, Arthropoda, Insecta, Hymenoptera, Formicidae.
CAAAUUUUGAAAAAAUAAUUCCAAGAAAGUAUGAUGCAAAUAGUGAAUUGACUGUUAUAAUUAACAAUGUGUAUUCUAAAGAAAAACUUGACGAGAUAAGCGAAUUUGUAAGAAAUGAAUUUGAAGAGAAAGUAUUUAAAGAUGUUCAAGACAAGAUAAUAGAACGCAAAGAACUGUUAGAUACAUAUGUCUCAUUUC